GCGGCCCACAGGGAAGGGCUGGACCAGGCCGAGGUUUCCGGGGACGUCAAUGUUAAUUGGCGCUUAGUGUUUCGUGCAGCGUCGUUUUCGGGGCUCACAAUGAGCAGGUGAUGGACGGGGGACCUCCUGUCGAGUCGCGUGAGUGCUCUGGCGGAUCAGGAUGCUCGGUCGGUGUGGACCCGGCUCGGUGGUGGGAACGGAGCUGCCGCCGGGACGCAGGGACUCAGGCUCAGCUGCCAGUCGUGCUUGCCUGUGAACUGCACACGGUGUGUCCCCACGCCUCCUGGAUGCUCAGUUCUUCAUUAGGUUCCUUGAGCGAGGUCUCAUGGAAAUGCUGUAGGACACUGGGGUUUCCGUGGCCCUCUCCUUGCUCCCUCGUUGUUCCUUUUUCUUUCGAGAAGCACGAAGCUAUGACAAGAUCCUGAAGCUCAACAGAAGACUGCUAUUGCCGUAGCGGCUGUGGCGGCAGUGGGCCAAGUCUUUGCCUGCUUCUCCGGGCUGUCCGAUCCCCUCUGGAGCACCUCCUGCAGGCCAGUCCAGCACGAGAAGAUCAGCUGUUCCAUCUGCUAUUUGUUCUCCCGUGCCAAACCGUGUGUCAGUGACCUGACUUCAAUCUCCGUCAGUUUAGCUAAGACCCCAACAGGAUGUGGUGAGCUCACUCGUAUCCUCGGAACUUGAAAAUUACCCAAAACUACUGUUAGCCCUUCUGGUGGGGUUUCUUUAUCUCCCUCCCAAAGCAUCUUACUGCAUCAUUAACAGUGAUAACGGAGGAUUGAAACUGAGGUAUAUGACAGUCUAUGGCAUCAGACAUAAUUAUAUAACUCCCAUCCUUCAAGGAAAGGAAUUCUAGAUAAGGUGAUGAGACUGUCCAGUUUGGGGACAUUCCCUUCCUGUUUUGUUGCCACCAGGUUGAUGCAUUAUGACUUCCUCACAAAUCAAAUAGUCUCUCUCUUCACAUUCCCUUGGCUCAAGAUAACAUUAUUAGUACAUUCUUGACUUAUAUAUGCGUAAGGUUGAUGUACUUUUAUUAGCGGUAGGUAAGACCCUGUUCUUAGCAGAUGUCAAAUAUUCAUUACUUGCCAAUUGGUAUACAAUAUUUUUCUGGGUAAAAUUAUUUCAUAAUAAAUCCUUAUUUCCCCAAAUUUUAAUUUUGAAUGUAUAAGUUAUUUUAAUAUUAUGUAUAGUACUGUGGACUUUUUUUUGCAUAUGAUGUUGAACGAUAGUUAUUCCUUUUUCAAUUCAAGUUCCGUUUAGCCUCUUCCAGUCUACUCUUCCUCCUAGAGAGUAAUCUAAAGUUGGGUAUGUAGGAUUGUAUUAAUAUUGCUGUAGCCAUGUCAUCUAUAUGUUGAGUCUAUUCUGUGGUAGUUUUCAUAAGGGUCACCAUGUGGUUUUUUAACACGUGUGACCCAUCGGUCAGCAGAUGGUCAUUUAGAUCCGAGACCUUGGAUAGCGUUGCUAUGGGAUUAGCCAUCGUAAGACCUAUUUUUUGUAACCUUUGAAUAUUAAUUAAGGUCUCUUUGCUGCUUUUCUAUGGGACAAUGAAGUGCUAUCCCAUGCUUAUCUUCAAUUUGUGUUUUUGCUAUAUUAAGCUGUUCUAUUUAUCCCCAUAUCUCGUCUUCAGUUAGUAAUUCUUUAAUGUUAAUAUUAUGUCUUGUAUUCAAGUUGUAAAAAGUUUAUUCAAUGAAUCAGCAAUAUCCUCUACAUUUUUUUUUUUGCUUUUGCUAUGCACUUUAGUUAUAAUGAAUAUAUUUCACAUUUUGUUUCCAUUAUUUUCUUUUCUUCUCUACAUAUUGGGGCUGGAAACAUUCUUGAAUAAGGUGUUUGACCCGAGUCAUGCUGAAUUUCAGAAGCAGUCCGUUGUGGAUAAUAAAGACAAAAUUCCCUAGCAGAGGAUUUAGACUCAUAUUGACAUUUAACUUCCUCCUCUUGUAUAUCAUUUGAAUCAGGGAACUGUCUCCAAAAUUGACAAGCAUAAGGAUAAGUAUUUUUAGUUUUGGUGAUUUAACAUCCUCAGGCAAUAUCGUUCUUAUAUUCUUUUGAAAAUUUUCACAGACUCCUUCCCACAGUGAAUAAGUGGUACAGAUAGAGUUCAAAAAAUACAUUAAUCCUGGAUGAUUUCAAAAUUGUGCAAUAGUAAGGGUUUUAACCAAUUAUUUUGUACAUUUUUUAUUAGAAUUAUUCCUUUAUUUCUGUUCUGGACAUGAGGAAAAUCCUUUAACUGACCAGUUGUAUUUUUCUCGAUCAUAAUAAAUAGUUUUUUAUUUAUCAUCUGUUCUUAGUUGUAAUUUUGGCUUCUUGCCACCAUUCAUCAUACAUGUUUGUAGAAGAAAAUGUGGCUUGUUUAUAUGUAGCAUUACCUCCAGGUUUGCUAAAUGCUCCAGUUUGUGCAUAAUUCUGAUCAGCAAUGGUCCAGUUUCUUGGUUUCAUUAUCUAUGGUUAGAUAUAAUAUUUCCAAACACUAAGGAUUAUAGUGUCAGGGAUGCCACUAUACCAUGACUGAGGAACGAGGAAAUGGUCUUGAAUAAUUUCAGGACAGGGUCAAGUUCUAACUGAACCAUAAUGCACCAGGUAACAAAGUCCAAAUUCUUGGCAACAACUUUUCUGUUGAUAUUGUUCUUGAGUGUGUGGUUGUUCUAAAGGUACAUCAAAAGUAAGAGGAUUUCUUGUAAUUGAUCAAACACUUCAUUAAUUAAUUGUGUUAAGAUCUUUUGUCCCUGGGCGGUAUAUAUUUGACUUUCUUGAGCGAGAUUUCAUGAAACUAUCAAAAUUACUUGUGAAAUACACAAUGUACGUUCCUUGUGAACAAUGGGUUUCGGGAAAUGUUCCCAAAACCCACCUUGUGGAACACCAUGUUUGUCUAGUGGACAGAGUUCACUGUUGGAUGCACGGUUCACUUCUCAUGAUCAUAUUGUGGAAGAGCAAUAAGGGUGGCGGUUACAAGGGUAGCACUUGUUAGACUCCAAGAAAUAAUUGGCCCAGGAUGAUGAAUUACAUUUUUCCAAUGUAAACUAAAGAUUGCUGAAAGUGUAAAACCCAUAACAAUCCCAUAAUAAUUAAUCCAAAAGCCAACCAGCACAGAGGCCGAGUGGAGGUAGCACAUAACGUAUAUUAAAAGUAUUUCAGUCUCAUAUGUGUAGUAGGUUUCAAGAUUUUUUUCAACUGCCCAUCCUGGGUCUGCCGUAUUAAUAUUAGGGUGUUUUUUUUUUAACCCAAAGCUCCAUAUCUUUAG
Molecule: long non-coding RNA, 3229 nt
Organism: Choloepus didactylus (southern two-toed sloth)
Lineage: Eukaryota; Metazoa; Chordata; Mammalia; Pilosa; Megalonychidae
Exons: 3
Source: RefSeq, a predicted model, not a curated record